Molecule: ribosomal RNA, 502 nt
Filed under: uncultured Desulfobulbus sp.
Lineage: Bacteria; Pseudomonadati; Thermodesulfobacteriota; Desulfobulbia; Desulfobulbales; Desulfobulbaceae
Description: bacterial SSU rRNA
Rfam family: Bacterial small subunit ribosomal RNA
Source: RNAcentral
GCCCGCUCAGAAACUCAAAGGAAGUUGACGGGGCCCGGCACAAGCGGUGGAGUAUGUGGUUUAAUUCGAUGCAACGCGAAGAACCUUACCUGGUCUUGACAUCCCGGAGACCCUUAGGAAACUAGGGGGUGCUUCCAUCUGGAAGAAUCUGGAGACAGGUGCUGCAUGGCUGUCGUCAGCUCGUGUCGUGAGAUGUUGGGUUAAGUCCCGCAACGAGCGCAACCCUUGCCUUUAGUUGCCAGCAGUUCGGCUGGGCACUCUAAAGGGACUGCCGGUGUUAAACCGGAGGAAGGUGGGGAUGACGUCAAGUCCUCAUGGCCUUUAUGACCAGGGCUACACACGUACUACAAUGGCCGAUACAAAGGGCAGCGACACUGCGAGGUGAAGCCAAUCCCGUAAAAUCGGUCUCAGUCCGGAUUGGAGUCUGCAACUCGACUCCAUGAAGUUGGAAUCGCUAGUAAUCGUGGAUCAGCAUGCCACGGUGAAUACGUUCCCGGGCCUU